Lonchura striata (white-rumped munia) is the source of this 423-nucleotide non-coding RNA. The record is from RefSeq and is a predicted model, not a curated record. NCBI's taxonomy places the organism in Eukaryota, Metazoa, Chordata, Aves, Passeriformes, Estrildidae.
CUUGCAGAAAAUACUCCUCGAACACAAAAUCUGGAUGCCCACAGUAAGAAAUUGUUUAAUUCCUCUGUGGACUUAGUCCUCUGCAUCUGUAUUGGAGCCCAUGUUGGAUUGUCCUUCUGGAUGGACACAGCCAAAUCUUCUUCUGCUAUUAACUGAGUGACAUCUGAUGGACAAUGCAUCACCAUGCUGCUGCUUGUUUCCUCUGUGGAUGCUCACUUAAUAAAGACCGAAUCACUUAACAGAGGGAGCCAUCCAAGAAGUUUGCUUUACACAAAAGAAGUGUUUGGGGAAUCUAAAUUAAGCAUUUGAACUUCAAGUAUUUAGAGGAAUCCGGAGAUGUGGGGAGGACUUGGCCUACUGUGUUGUGAAAACUGUCAAGUCUGAGGUGAUUGCAACGUGGGAUGAGUGGGCCAAGGAGCUGGA